Molecule: ribosomal RNA, 468 nt
Filed under: uncultured bacterium
Lineage: Bacteria
Description: partial 16S ribosomal RNA
Rfam family: Bacterial small subunit ribosomal RNA
Source: RNAcentral
GGCGAACGCUGGCGGCGUGCUUAACACAUGCGAGUCGAACGGAAAGGCCCUGCUUUUGUGGGGUGCUCGAGUGGCGAACGGGUGAGUAACACGUGAGUAACCUGCCCUUGACUUUGGGAUAACUUCAGGAAACUGGGGCUAAUACCGGAUAGGAGCUCCUGCUGCAUGGUGGGGGUUGGAAAGUUUCGGCGGUUGGGGAUGGACUCGCGGCUUAUCAGCUUGUUGGUGGGGUAGUGGCUUACCAAGGCUUUGACGGGUAGCCGGCCUGAGAGGGUGACCGGCCACAUUGGGACUGAGAUACGGCCCAGACUCCUACGGGAGGCAGCAGUGGGGAAUAUUGCACAACGGGCGGAAGCCUGAUGCAGCAACGCCGCGUGCGGGAUGACGGCCUUCGGGUUGUAAACCGCUUUCGCCUGUGACGAAGCGUGAGUGACGGUAAUGGGUAAAGAAGCACCGGCUAACUACGUG